Molecule: long non-coding RNA, 805 nt
Filed under: Fukomys damarensis (Damara mole-rat)
Lineage: Eukaryota; Metazoa; Chordata; Mammalia; Rodentia; Bathyergidae
Description: lncRNA (ENSFDAG00000022014.1)
Source: RNAcentral
CCCCGCCAUGCCACACUGCUGGGACUGUCCCUAAACUGGGCGGAGGGAGGGGCAGGAUCAGAACCCCUGCCAUUUCUACUCUGCAUUUCCAUGUGAAAUCUUCUAAAAGCUGUUUCUUGUUAACAAAUAUCAGUUAUGAAUUUGGUUGCUGUGAACUCUGUGACAGCCUUUAGUAAUGGACAGAUGGGAGGGAACCGUGACAGGGAUUCCGUGCCCCGCGUAAUAGUUCAAAGGAAAGCAGUUGAAUACUCUGCUGCCUGGAAGUGUCAUCGCCACGGCCGUGACAGGAGUGAGCUCAUGGCAGCGGUGAUCCUGAAAAAAGGCCAUCGCUCAGCAGCCCAGCAGAUUUCUCCAACCGGAAACCCAGGCAGAAGCAGGCGACUUCCAGACUUAUUUGAGAAAGAAAAGGAAAGAGGUUCUCCCCUGCAGCCUCUUGCAGUCUGGCCCUGCUGCUCCUGUGUCCAGGCUGGGCCGGGGCCCCUGCCUCAUCCUCUACUUAGUGGAUCCAGAAGUGCAUCCUGCCAGGCGGAGGAGAGUAAUAACUCCCAGUACCGUCCAGCUGUACCACAUGGCCACGGCCUCUGGGGGAAGGGGAGCGUAAAUCCAAUCCUUCUGCCCAGGCAAGGGAGUCCCAAGGAAAUCGGCUCUCGGCUGGAUGCAUCAGGACCCAGGAGCUCAGCUCGAGGUCACACACUCAAGAUGACUGAUGUCAGCACCCAGCUGGCCACCCGUCCUCUGCCUUCCAGGCCCUUCCCACUCUGGCUCUUCCUGCCCCAUGUCGCCUGACUUCUGCUGCCUCCUUCCA